This 492-nucleotide ribosomal RNA is filed under the name uncultured bacterium. Its description in RNAcentral is "partial 16S ribosomal RNA". It matches the Rfam family "Bacterial small subunit ribosomal RNA", at positions 30 to 507 of the family's 1533-position model. The record is from RNAcentral.
AUUGAACGCUGGCGGCAUGCUUUACACAUGCAAGUCGAACGGUAACAGGCCUUCGGGUGCUGACGAGUGGCGAACGGGUGAGUAAUGCAUCGGAACGUACCCAGAGGUGGGGGAUAACGCAGCGAAAGCUGUGCUAAUACCGCAUGUGAUCUGAGGAUGAAAGCGGGGGACCGAGCAGCAAUGUUUGGCCUCGCGCCUUUGGAGCGGCCGAUGUCGGAUUAGCUAGUUGGUGGGGUAAAGGCCUACCAAGGCGACGAUCCGUAGCUGGUCUGAGAGGACGACCAGCCACACUGGGACUGAGACACGGCCCAGACUCCUACGGGAGGCAGCAGUGGGGUAUUUUGGACAAUGGGCGCAAGCCUGAUCCAGCAAUGCCGCGUGCGGGAAGAAGGCCUUCGGGUUGUAAUCCGCUUUUGGCAGGAACGAAACGGUGUCCGCUAAUACCGGGCGCUAAUGACGGUACCUGCAGAAUAAGCACCGGCUAACUACGUG